UCGUCCCUACGGGAGGCAGCAGUGAGGCCUAUUGGUCCCUGUCCGAGAGGCUGAACCAGCCAAGUCGCGUGAGGGAAGACGGCCCUACGGGUUGUAAACCUCUUUUGUCGGGGAGCAAAGCGAGUCACGUGUGACUCAUUGAGAGUACCCGAAGAAAAAGCAUCGGCUAACUCCGUGCCAGCAGCCGCGGUAAUACGGAGGAUGCGAGCGUUAUCCGGAUUUAUUGGGUUUAAAGGGUGCGCAGGCGGAGGGGCAAGUCAGCGGUCAAGUUGCGGGGCUCAACCCCGUACUGCCGUUGAAACUUC
RNAcentral lists this ribosomal RNA (305 nucleotides) under uncultured bacterium. RNAcentral describes it as "bacterial SSU rRNA". It matches the Rfam family "Bacterial small subunit ribosomal RNA", at positions 333 to 636 of the family's 1533-position model. The record is from RNAcentral.